CAUCUGCUAGAUUUUUAUUAAAGUAACAAAAAAAGGUGUACAUUUGUCCAUAAACCUGUACAUUCUUCCAUAUAAAACACUAUUAUACAAUUAGUAACCUUUGUCUUUUCUAUCAGAAUAGCUUACAAACUACUAUUAUUUAUUUUUACUUAAUAGGAGAGACAGGCCUGCUCAACAGUCCAGCUCUGGGUGUUUUGUUGAUUUUAAAGUGAACAUCAAAAAGAAGAGAGAAAAGAUUAAGCAUGAGACUAUGAGGCUGCUUAUAAUCUGCAGUGAUUCACAGCUUUGUUUCAACCCACAGGCCAGAAAAUUAGCUCUUGGGUCUGUGGGCCCAAAGUUACCUUUAAAGCAAUAAAGACUGGAAACAGGGGCUGGGAUGGUAGCUGGGGAUCUGGAACGUUGAAGAGGCAGAACUGGCAGGAAUGGGUAGGGAAAGUGUUUGGUAAAUAGCACCUUUGAAUCAGAACUGAGUAGUUAAGAAAUCCAGGAAAGGGGACUGGCAGUGGGGAGGAAGUUUUCUCCACAAGGGGCAAUGGCAGGAGGGUAGCCAGGUUGACCAGAUGUUCUAGCUCCAUCCUUCUUGAGAUGGUCUUGGGUUUGCGAUACUCAAGGCCUUCUGAGGACCCCUCACUAAUACCACUGAAAACCUGAAGGAAGAGGAUUUCUUCCCAGUGUAGUUUUGCAUUUUUCUGCAACCCAAAACAGUAAAUAUUGCACAAGUCUACAGACAAAUUUGGAUUGUACUGAGAGACGGCAACAUCUCCCACAGGUGCUCUGAGCACGGGGAAGAAAAAAACAAUGCCCAAGGUUUGGCUUUUAGUGUCAGCCCUACAAAAAUACCAAGUAGUCCUGCAGAACUUGGGGCAUUCUCCCAUUCGGCCAAGGAAUACUGCAAGGCUGAGGAUCCAGCCAUAGUCCCAAGGACAGAGGGAGAGAUGGUUCCCUAAGCCUGCCAAGGCACCAGAAGGUUGUAAGAGCCAGUUCUCCUCCAGACCCUCCUGGGACCCAAGAGGCCAUAUUGCACAGUGACUGAGAACUUUUGUCCUAGAAAACAGGGUAACUGCAUGACCCAACCAGGAGGGGAGAGGAGCAGGGAGAGUUAGAGAGGAGUGUUGUGCUUUUAAAAAGAAGGCAGUAAUCAAGGAUGUGGAGUUCCCUGUAACUUUUGAGCCACCUCUCCAAGGGAUAAUGGUAGCAUCGCCAGGACUUUCACGUAGUUCCAAAAAAAAAAAAAAAAAAAAAAAUUACCACAUGUACACAUAGAGCAGCACAUAGCAAGGCAAAGAUUUCGUGCAGAGUACCCUUCUGUCCCAACUCCAAUAACCUGCAACCCCUGCCUCACUCCCCUGAACCCCCAAACAAAAAGCUUUAUAUUCUUGGUGGGUAGCAACAUCCAUAGGCCCCUGAGAAUAGAAUUAGAAAUAAGUCAUGAUUUUAAGAAAAACUGUUCAGGACAGAAGGAAUCAAGAGAGGCUUUUUCACUCUCUGCCUAGGAUCUCAUUAGAAAAAUAAAAGAGAAAGAUUAGGCAAUAUAGCAUAAUUUAAGUCCAGGUUUGAAUGCCCCUGAGUAAGAGAGGGGCUGGGGAUGCAGGUGUCCUGGUUAGAAGAGGGAGAGGUUAGAACUCAGCCUCUCUUCUCCAUCCAGGACAGAUCCUGACCUCUCUCAUUCACAGUUGCUAACCUUGCUUGCUCCUUCUCACAACUUCCUGGGGUGCUAGCCAAGCCUCUCCCCCAUCACCUUGACCAGACCCGCCCCCUGAACUUUCCCCCCUCCCAUAGGCAGACACUGGCUCCCAGACUCAAGCGCACAACGAUUCUCUCCAAAGGCACCUGGGGAGGCCACUUCCAAGCAGCUCCCUUUAAGGAUUUUUUUCUUAAAAAAAAUCUUUUGGUUUUUUUUUUUCUCCUCUUUUCUUAAAAAAAAAAAUAAUAUAUAUAUAAAUAGCUCUUCAUUUAAAAUACAGUUCCCCAGGUUGAGGUAUGCAAUGGCCUGUUGUCACGGCAGGCAGAAUGAGUACAGUAGAGUGCCAGGUGGGGGCCACAGGGGAUCUAACUGGAGACCGCCAUGACGUAGUUCUUCGAGGGGCUGCUCCUGCCCAGCAUCAUUUGGUUCUUGCAGGUGAGGAGCCCAUAGGAGGUGGCCACCGGGGCCUCCUCGUACAGGAC
This 2166-nucleotide long non-coding RNA is filed under the name Sus scrofa (pig). RNAcentral describes it as "lncRNA (ENSSSCG00015023363.1)". The record is from RNAcentral. Lineage: Eukaryota; Metazoa; Chordata; Mammalia; Artiodactyla; Suidae.